RNAcentral lists this ribosomal RNA (253 nucleotides) under uncultured bacterium. Its description in RNAcentral is "partial 16S ribosomal RNA". It matches the Rfam family "Bacterial small subunit ribosomal RNA", at positions 524 to 776 of the family's 1533-position model. The record is from RNAcentral.
UACGUAGGUGGCAAGCGUUGUCCGGAUUUACUGGGUGUAAAGGGCGUGUAGGCGGGAAGGUAAGUCAGAUGUGAAAUACCGGGGCUCAACUCCGGGGCUGCAUUUGAAACUAUCUUUCUUGAGUGCAGGAGAGGAAAGUGGAAUUCCUAGUGUAGCGGUGAAAUGCGUAGAUAUUAGGAGGAACACCAGUGGCGAAGGCGACUUUCUGGACUGUAACUGACGCUGAGGCGCGAAAGCGUGGGGAGCGAACAGG